RNAcentral lists this ribosomal RNA (350 nucleotides) under uncultured bacterium. Its description in RNAcentral is "partial 16S ribosomal RNA". It matches the Rfam family "Bacterial small subunit ribosomal RNA", at positions 338 to 703 of the family's 1533-position model. The record is from RNAcentral.
CCUACGGGAGGCUGCAGUGGGGGAUAUUGCACAAUGGGGGAAACCCUGAUGCAGCGACGCCGCGUGGGCGAAGAAGUAUUUCGGUAUGUAAAGCCCGAUCAGCAGGGAAGAAGAAAGGACGGUACCGGAGUAAGAAGCACCGGCUAAAGACGUGCCAGCAGCCGCGGUAAUACGUAUGGUGCAAGCGUUAUCCGGAUUUACUGGGGGUAAAGGGAGCGCAGGCGGCACGGCAAGCCUGAUGUGAAAGCCCGCGGCCCAACCGCGGGACGGCAUUGGGAACUACCGGGCUGGAGUGCCGGAGUGGUAGGCGGAAUUCCUAGUGUCGCGGUGAACUGCGUCGUUAUUCGGCG